RNAcentral lists this ribosomal RNA (253 nucleotides) under uncultured bacterium. RNAcentral's name for it is "partial 16S ribosomal RNA". It matches the Rfam family "Bacterial small subunit ribosomal RNA", at positions 524 to 776 of the family's 1533-position model. The record is from RNAcentral.
UACGUAGGGUGCAAGCGUUGUCCGGAAUUAUUGGGCGUAAAGAGCUCGUAGGCGGUCUGUCGCGUCUGCUGUGAAAACUCAGGGCUUAACCCUGAGCUUGCAGUGGGUACGGGCAGACUAGAGUGCGGUAGGGGAGACUGGAAUUCCUGGUGUAGCGGUGAGAUGCGCAGAUAUCAGGAGGAACACCGGUGGCGAAGGCGGGUCUCUGGGCCGUAACUGACGCUGAGGAGCGAAAGCAUGGGGAGCGAACAGG